AAUCCAUGAACGUAGCAUUCACAACUCCAUCAUACACCAAACACCUCUCCUUCAACUCAUCAAACAGUUCAUUCGCCUUCUCCAAAUUCUCCAAAUUUAGAAAACCGGAAAUCAAAUUAUUAAAAACCAACGAAUCAGCCCCGUGCCCUUUAUUCAACAUUUCACGCAGAAGAUCCACAGCCUCCCCAAUCCUCCCAGAAUCAAUCAAUCCCUUAGUCAAAUGCCGAUAAGUCACUGCCGAAGGACUAAACGGAGCGUUCGCAAUAAUAUGACGAUAAAUCUCAAGA
This 287-nucleotide unclassified non-coding RNA is filed under the name Hevea brasiliensis (rubber tree). The record is from RNAcentral. Lineage: Eukaryota; Viridiplantae; Streptophyta; Magnoliopsida; Malpighiales; Euphorbiaceae.